This 589-nucleotide ribosomal RNA is filed under the name Bos indicus (zebu cattle). Its description in RNAcentral is "partial 16S ribosomal RNA". It matches the Rfam family "Bacterial large subunit ribosomal RNA", at positions 1797 to 2619 of the family's 2925-position model. The record is from RNAcentral. Lineage: Eukaryota; Metazoa; Chordata; Mammalia; Artiodactyla; Bovidae.
CGCCUGUUUACCAAAAACAUCACCUCCAGCAUUCCCAGUAUUGGAGGCAUUGCCUGCCCAGUGACAACUGUUCAACGGCCGCGGUAUCCUGACCGUGCAAAGGUAGCAUAAUCAUUUGUUCUCUAAAUAAGGACUUGUAUGAAUGGCCGCACGAGGGUUUUACUGUCUCCUACUUCCGAUCAGUGAAAUUGACCUUCCCGUGAAGAGGCGGGAAUGCACAAAUAAGACGAGAAGACCCUAUGGAGCUUUAACUAACCAACCCAAAGAGAAUAAAUUUAACCAUUAAGGAGUAACAACAAUCUCCAUGAGUUGGUAGUUUCGGUUGGGGUGACCUCGGAGAAUAAAAAACCCUCCGAGCGAUUUUAAAGACUAGACCCACAAGUCAAAUCACUCUAUCGCUCAUUGAUCCAAAAACUUGAUCAACGGAACAAGUUACCCUAGGGAUAACAGCGCAAUCCUAUUCAAGAGUCCAUAUCGACAAUAGGGUUUACGACCUCGAUGUUGGAUCAGGACAUCCUGAUGGUGCAACCGCUAUCAAAGGUUCGUUUGUUCAACGAUUAAAGUCCUACGUGAUCUGAGUUCAGACCGG